RNAcentral lists this long non-coding RNA (712 nucleotides) under Anthonomus grandis grandis. RNAcentral's name for it is "uncharacterized LOC126743524". Lineage: Eukaryota; Metazoa; Arthropoda; Insecta; Coleoptera; Curculionidae. The record is from RNAcentral.
AACAUAAUUCACCUUGAGAAAUUAUUAUUUUUUAACUAAUAUUUAUUGGAAAACUUCAACACAAAUUAUUUGCUAAAUAAACCUGAUGAAAAUCUCAUAACUUCAUUCAAGUUCGCAUAUAUUUUGCCUGUGUGGCCUUUGUUUUGUGUACCUAGAAUGAUUACAAGGUAUGAUUUGUUUUCAUCCUGGUCAACAAUUUAACAGCUGUGGGACCCAUUUGUUGUAGGAGAAGAAUUGCAUGUUUUAACUGCUGAUUAGACUACACAACCAGAAAUAAAUAAGCUAAAUGAAGUAUGUUAGGAUACCCCAGAGAUCAUGAAAUGUGUUUGAUAGGGCUCAGACCAUGCACUUAAGGACAUCCGUCAAGAAAUCAUUGAGAUUCUACCAUAUUGAUGAAAUUGGGAAACCAGGAAGAACUGCCUGUCUUUACUGUUGGGUAGAGUACACAGCCAGAAAUAAAUAAGCUACAGGAAGUAUGUUAGGAUUCCCCAGAGAUCAUGGAAUGUGUUUGAAGGGAUAUGAAUCAGCUUUUUUGUUAUCUUGAAUAGGCAAAAUGGCACGAGAAUCUUCCAACUGGACCCAAAGUCUCUAUUUUUGGUUAGAAAAUAAAACUUAUUUAAUGUUUAUGUUCCAUGACCUGUUUAUUGUUUUAUUAAAUUUUGUCAUACAGUUAUUUAGUUUUAAUAAUUAAAGAGAAAAUUGAUCUAUAGUA